GUGAUUUGCAAGCAACUCAACUUGCUGGCUGUGCAUGGGUGUAACUCAGAGCAAGGCUUUGCCUCCCCAGCAAUGCUUACUCAUCAGUUCUGAAUUUGGCUUCUCCAAACAAUUAUAACCCUCCACAGACAUUGCAUAACAUCGCUGAGCAUGUGUGGUUUUCUUAUAUAAUUCCUGGUUGCAAAGCAGAGCUCCAGGCUAGAAGCCAAGUCACACAGGGCAUGAGCAGCUUCAGAAAUAACCACCAUUCAGGUUUGUUUACUGCAAGGAGCUCUCGAAGGAAACCAUCAAAUUAAGGAAAAUAAAGUUGAGAUGCUGGAGUGGAGCACAGACAAGCAACAGAGAGAUGAGAUUUUCAUCACUGAAAUGUCUUCUACAGGUUUUCCUUUGCCUCUGUACCUGCAGGAAGAAAAUCUCCGGGCAAGCACCUGGUUAUGGACUUUGUUUCCAUUUGGACCAUUCUGCUUCCUGCUGAAAAUGAGCAACUGGCUGCACUGGAAAAUUUCUGCAAUUUGCUCAGACUAACAGCUUGGAUGCCUGCUGGAUUCUGAGCAACAGAACCUGUCCCGUGUGACACCCAGUGUUUUCUCAGAAGUUAUUCUCCUCACUGUCAGUGGUCUUCAAUAGAAAACCUCUCAAAACAAAAGUAGGCAAAAAAUGCACCCCUCAGAAAUUGUGUGUGUUUGGUCCUGGAGCAGAAGAUCAGGAACAAAAGUUGGUUGAGCUUUUUACCUCUGACUUGACAGGGAACUAUUAGAGGGCAUAUCAGAGAAAGCAGAGAUUAAUGAAGGAUUCCUAGAACAGUAGAGGAAUUCCUACUUUAGAAACUCUUUUUAGGGGAACAGCACUAGUUCUUCAAAGAAAGGAAUGGCUCUGCUGCCAAGUGUUUCAGAGCAUUAAUUAUUCAUUUUUGCCAGGAGUUUGGAAACAGAACCAUGGAAUAGUUUGGGUUGGAGAGACCUUUAAAGGUCAUGUAGCCCAAGCCCCCCACUGUAAGCAGAGACAUCUGUAAUUCCAACAGGUUGUUCAGACUCCUGUCCAAAUUCUCCCUUAACAUUUCCAGGGAUGAGGCUUCUGCCACUGCCAGAGACUCAGCUCUGGUAAAUCACUUGGGAAUCCUCUCACUCGCCUCAGCUCCUAUCCAGACCAGAUCUCAACAGAGAUUUUAAAAGAUUUCUUCAGAAAAGCAUCAGAAACAGUUUCAAUUCAGUGCUGGGAAAUGAGACACUCGGCACUAACAGAUUUAAUAUUCAUCUUGUCACAUACUAGGUUGCCCUACUGAUCUUUGAGCUGCUCACACAAAAAGCAUCCUAUCGAGUUUCUGCUGAAAUAUCUUGAAUGCUCAGCAGCACAACCAUGCAGAGGAAUAUACAUAACAGGAAAUUAUUUUUUCUCCAAAAUUUUUAUGCACUGUUUACAGAUAAAAUGGCAAAACACAGUAAAUAUAUACUUAUGAGCACAUUCGAUUGUAUACUUAUAAAAAUAUUCAUCUUAUAAACACUUUAUUUGAAAUUUCUGAUUAUUAAAACAUAAAUUAAAUUUUGUUAUCUAUGUGCACUCAACUUUGUUAGAAAUGCUAUUAAAGAUUCAGGCUGUUUAAACAAUAAUACUCUGGAUAUCUAGAAAGGCUUCCAGUCUUCAUGAGGGCUUUUUUCAGGCUCUUCAUAGACAUUAAUUAAAGCUGUGAGAAACUCUGUGUUCUUGGUACUAUUUACACCUGUUUAAUACUGUUUCACGUGCUACAUCUGAGGUCAAACAGCAAAUCAGUAACAGAACCAGUGUCAGAAUUGGAGUAUCAGAACUCCUGAGACCUGCCUGAGCUAUUGGACAUUGUCUUCCACCAGACCACACUAUCAAUUAUAGAAAAUAACUUUUGAUUGCUCAGAGAACCAUCCGAGUACAGUUACUAUUAACACUUAUCACAAAAAGCUGUGUAAGCAGACUGAAGGAAACUCCCCCCAAACUUGUAAAUGUGCUAUUGACAGGCAAUUUCAUUAAAUCUGGUUUCACUUUAUUUGGGUUAUAUAUUCCAUUUCAUAAAAACCUUAUCGUAAAGAUCUAAAUCUGUGAAGAAAGACAUUAAGCAAUUCUUUAUUAUCUCUGCUGGUCCAUUAAAAUAAAUCUCAUCUAUCCCUUCCCCUAUUAUUCCA
Molecule: long non-coding RNA, 2150 nt
Organism: Junco hyemalis (dark-eyed junco)
Lineage: Eukaryota; Metazoa; Chordata; Aves; Passeriformes; Passerellidae
Source: Ensembl